UUACCUACCCCUAUAUUACAAAACCCAUUUUAACCCACUAACUUGAAACCCAAAGCCCAUUUCCAGCAAACAACAUGCCAAAUAUCCCCAUUAAAUUUCAAUUCCACCGACCCAGCAAUAUGCCUACAAUACAACACCUAUAUGCAACAUGAUAUACACAUCUACAACAACAACAGCAUCCCACCACCGCCCAAAAGCCCCAUCUUCUUCACACAGCGAAUACACCCAAAAGUUUAUACAUACCAUACGCGCAUACCGUACAAUAGCUACGCGUCUUCUUCAACAACCCUGACAACAUCGCAAAUCUGCCGACAACAAAGGGAGGUUUGAAACCCAAAAAAUCAUCUUUAUCGAGUCAAUCUUAUCAAGGAACCUAGUACUGAACAGGUUUAUGGAAGCAAAAAUACAGGGAUUGAAAGCAGAAACGCAGGUGGAAAGAGGCUGGUAUAUAUCCAUAUACUGCUGAUAUACAUUGGUAUACAUGCUAAAUAUACAGGGUACGAAAAAUGGGCUAGGAAGGCCCAGGACACUGGUCCAGGUGGACAGAAACCAGGCUUGGGCCCAAAAUUUCUAUUCUCUUUAUUUGUUUAAUUAAUGGAAAAAUUAUCAAAUUACACAUCUUUUAUUCCUAUAUUUUUAAUUAUUCCCUACCAUUUGUUAAAAUUUUAAAAUUCCUUCUUCUGAUACAUAGAAAUGACGCUGAUACAUCGCGAUUUGAUACAUAAGUUUUUUUCAUGAUAAAUCGCUAGUUGAUACAAAUCAAACACAAAAUGUAUCAGUAAAACAUAAGUUUUAUUGCUAUUUUUGUUGUGUUCAUGAUAUAUUAGGUGUUAUAAGCUGAUUCAUAAGUUUUAUUGAUAUUACAAGAUUUGGUUUGUAUCAACUAGCGAUGUAUUAUGAAAAUGAUUUAUGUAUCAAAUCGCGAUGUAUCAGCAUCAUUCGUAUGUAUUAGAAAUCUGGAAAAAAGAGAAUUUGGGUAAUUACCAAAAAAAUCAGAAUAAAUUGUAAUUGAGGUUUUUCACUAUGGGAUUUAAGUAAAAUACCCUUAAUUAAUUGUCAUAGUUUGUUUGAAUUCUAA
Molecule: long non-coding RNA, 1078 nt
Organism: Solanum dulcamara
Lineage: Eukaryota; Viridiplantae; Streptophyta; Magnoliopsida; Solanales; Solanaceae
Exons: 2
Source: RefSeq, a predicted model, not a curated record